AUGGGCAUCUUGCCGAUGAUGUUCUCUCUGCUGGUACUCGGGUCACUAGGAAAGCUAACAGCUCUGGCAUCCGGAGUUGUGACAAACCAGCAGAGCCCCGAAGGGACCUGGGCACGACCAUCCCGUGCCGGUUUCACGCUCGAUGACUGCCCGACGAGCUGCGGCAGUGUGAGCUUCAGCUAUCCCUUCGGCAUCGGAUCCAGGUGCUCCCGUGGGCCUGACUUCAACCUCAGUUGCAACGAUGCCACUCACCCCCCCAUACUUUUCUUGUGUGACGGCAUCACCGAAGUGGUCAACUUUGGCGGUGAUUCUCAUUAUGAUUUAAACUCGAUCUGGGCCUCCUUCUCGCAUACCAUCCCCUUGAAAUCUGGUGUUAGUGCUUACAACUUGUCUUUCAAACCACCUGGGAGGUCCUUCCAUCUUUAUCCCUUUGUUCUAAACAUCAUUGGCUGCGACCUGGCAGUGUACUCUGUCAAAGAGAAUGCCAUCCAGCCGAUCUGCGCAACUGUGUGCCCAGAUCCAGAAAUUUCAGAGACGGUGGCUAUGCACAACUGUAAUGGCUUUGGCUGUUGUCGUGUAGACGUGCACAACUAUUGUGACAUUUAUCAGUUCAAAUUUGUCUAUGACCAUGACACAAUAAACACCAGAGCACACUCUAACCAGACCUCUAAGUUGUGGGAUAAAAUCAGCAUAACCGCUGAUGGUGGUUUAAUGCUCUCAUGGGAUAUAGGGAAUCAACCCACCGACUGUGUUGCCUGUGUCAGCGACCAUUCUGAGUGCCGCGGUUACAACUACGAUACAACUGGCAUGACAUCAAGAAAUGGCUACAGCUGGAACUGCAUGUGCAACGAGGGCUAUACAGGCAACCCCUACAUUCCACAUGGCUGCUCCAGUAACAGCAAAGGGUAUAAUCCAAUUCCGAGCAGGGCUGACUGUACCCGUUGGUGUGGUAACAUUAGUGUGCAAUUCCCAUUCGGCUUCGAAGAGGGUUGCUUUGCUAGGGAAGAGUUUCACCUCAACUGCACAGAUCUGACGUCAUCAGAUGCCCUGGUCAUGUUGGAGGAGAAACAAGUCAUCGACAUGAAUGUUGAUGAAGGGACCUUUAAUAUCACUUUUGCUGACCAACAACGUUGGGACCCCAUAUCAGAACGUCACAGUCUCGUAUAUGAAUAUGGGUUAUUUCUCUCUGUCAAAUGGGUUGCUGCUCAUCUAAGUUGCGCAGAGGCCCAACAGAAUAGAUCUGCAUAUGCUUGUGUGAGUACCAACAGCAAGUGUGUGGAAGUAACUGCUGAAAGAAUCUAUGCUGGUUACUGCUGCAAAUGCUCAGAUGGCUUCCAAGGAAAUCCAUAUAUCCAAAGUGGCUGUCGAGAUAUUAAUGAAUGCCUUCAAGCGAACAGUUGUAAAGGGAUCUGCCAUAAUACCAAUGGAAGCUUCCGUUGUACUGAAUGUCCUCUCGAGACUGAAUAUGAUCCAUUAAAAAUGCAGUGCACUAAGAUAAAACAACAGCCUCUACUCUUAGGUAUGAUUAUUGGGCUGUCCUGUGGUUUGGGCAUUCUUCUUCUGAGCUUCAGUGUAGUGUGUUUCACUCGCAGAUGGAAAAUAAAUGUUCAAAAGCAACUACGGAAGAACUAUUUCCGGAAGAACCAAGGUCUUCUCUUAGAAACGUUGAUAUCAUCUGAUGAAACUGCAAAUGAGAAUACGAAGAUUUUCUCAUUAGAAGAGCUAGAGAAGGCAACAGACAACUUUGAUCCUACACGUAUCAUCGGCCGUGGGGGCCAUGGCAUGGUCUACAAAGGCAUGUUAUCUGAUCAGCGAGUUGUUGCAAUAAAAAUGUCUAAGGUCAUUGAGGAGUGUGAGAUCAGUCAAUUCAUCAAUGAGGUCGCAGUUCUCUCUCAGAUAAAUCAUAGAAAUAUUAUAAAGCUCUUCGGAUGUUGUCUCGAAACUGAGGUUCCGCUGCUGGUGUACGACUAUGUAUCCAAUGGCUCACUGUCUCAAGUUCUUCAUGCUGAUUCAAGUGAUGGUUUUUCUCUGUCUUGGAUUGAUUACGUAAGGAUUGCCCUGGAAACAGCAGGAGCUCUAUCUUAUCUCCACUCUUCAGCUUCAAUAUCAAUCUUCCAUCGUGAUGUAAAGUCCUCGAAUAUACUCUUGGAUGUGAACUACACAGCUAAAGUUUCAGAUUUUGGCGCGUCUAGAUUGGUUCCAACUGAUCAAACACACAUUGUCACGAAUGUACAGGGUACAUUUGGGUACUUAGAUCCAGAGUAUUUCCAUACCAGACAGUUAAAUGAGAAGAGUGAUGUGUACAGUUUCGGUGUGGUACUAGUGGAGUUGCUUCUCAGAAUGAAGCCUGUUUUUACAAGUGAAUCAGGCACGGUCAAGAGCUUGUCAAACUAUUUUCUCCAGGAAUUCAAAGAUGGAAAUAUCACAAGUAUUGUUGACUCUCAGGUUCUUGAGGAGGCAACCAAAGAAGAGAUCAACAGUGUGGCCUCUCUUGCAGAGGUGUGCUUAAGGCUACACGGUGAAGAAAGACCCACAAUGAAACAAGUAGAGACGGAACUGCAGACUUUGCGAACAAAACGGGUGAACCCAAGUCAAGCAGAUCCGAGAAAUGAAGAACGAAUGCUACCAGAGUCACAAACUCAAAGAAGAGUAACAGCUUCUCGCCAAUCGUCCACGACGGAACUGGGCAAGAGAGAAAGCCGACGAUGCUAUAGCUUAGAGUGUGAGUUCAUGGCGUCUGCUAGUCUACCACGCUAG
This 2757-nucleotide ribosomal RNA is filed under the name Triticum aestivum (bread wheat). RNAcentral describes it as "partial small subunit ribosomal RNA". The record is from RNAcentral. Lineage: Eukaryota; Viridiplantae; Streptophyta; Magnoliopsida; Poales; Poaceae.